Molecule: long non-coding RNA, 1363 nt
Organism: Puntigrus tetrazona (Sumatra barb)
Lineage: Eukaryota; Metazoa; Chordata; Actinopteri; Cypriniformes; Cyprinidae
Exons: 2
Source: RefSeq, a predicted model, not a curated record
AUAUAUAUAUUUUAAACCUUCUAUCAUUUGUCUGCAUCUACUUUACAGUCAAAAUAAAACACAGAAAAGGUAUAAAAACAUGCAAAUGUGUCUGAAUUAUUAAAACACAGAACUUCAGAUCUCUGAUCUUGAAGUAAAAGCAGCAUCGGGACAAACAUCUACUGUUCUCUGAGAGGUGUGUGUGUGUGUGUGUGUGUGUGUGUGAGUGUGUGAGAUCACUGAGCUCUGACCCCGGUGUGUCUGAGGGCGGCUCCAUCUGUCUAAUGGCAGCGUUCGGAGGAAGUUGUGUGUUUUAUGGUGAAGCGUGGAGCUCGCGGUUGAAAGGUCGUCCUGGGCUUUGGCUCAAGGCCACGCUGAAGAACAAACUCUUUCAGACCUCGUUUUCUUCUCCCCUGCGGAGCUCCUGUGCUGGAUUUUUUAUAUUUAUUAUUUAUAUAAUUUCCUAUAUGUUAAUAAACCAUUUAAAGCCAUUAUUUAUAUGAAUUAGUGGACUUUCUAAUACCAAGGGCUGAAAAAUCUAAAUUGAUGGAGGGUUGAGGGCCAAAAAUGGAUGUUGCAUCGCAUCAGAAUAUAUUCAAUUGUGCUGCAUUUUAUGAAAUAAUUAGCGUCUAAUUCAAGAUAUUAUUAUUGUUAAUAAUUGUACUUCAAUGCAUGUUAUUUCCUCCUUUUUUGUUUCCACUUGGGGCACAGCUAGGCAGGCUAAAUCAAAGGUCAGCAGGGGUCAACUCUUAGCAUCUCUGGUAUUGAGUGAAUGGUGUUCAACACCUUCAGUUCUUUCAUCUCGGCUGGAUUGUGUCGCUGAUGCAUGCUGGGAUUGCGGUCUGCUUUGGACCAUUACGGCUCUCGUAAUUAAGAAACAGACUUUGAGUCCGCUGGUUUUGUAAGGAUGCAUUAAACCGAUCGAAAGUGACAGCAAAGACAUUUAUAAUGUGGCCAGGGUUGCCAGGUUUAAAACAAUCCCACAGAGCCACCGGAGACUGCGACAAAACAUUUCUAUUUCAAGUAAACGCUUUCAUCCUGAAAAAACUAAAUGCAUCACAGUUUGACAGAAACAUCGAGCAGCUCAGCUCUUUUCAGCACUGAUAAUAAUCAGUAUAUUAGAGCGAUUGAUUGAGUUGUUCUGUGAUGAAUGCUGAUCUGCUUCUCUCUCUACAGCAUGGAUGUUCAGGGAGACUAUGACCCCUGCGACGCCUCUGGAUUCAUCCGGGUCAACGCCGUCAGGCUUCGGGAACACAACCGUCUGCAGGGAGAAGCCCUGAAGAAGUCCUGAAGAAGCCCUGAAGAUCUGAUCCACGUCAUUCAGUCACCUGUUUCUGAGCGUGUACCGGUCUCUGAAGAAAUCUGAUUAAACACCAAACCCAUA